GGUGGAUUUGGGUGCAGUGCAUGGAUGGAUUGGUCUGGUAUGGAAUUUCCUCGCUAGUAAAUCUGCCAUUACACCAGUAGUGGCAGGGAUUUACUGUGAGGGAAUGAGGAUGUCACAUACUUAUUCCCUGGAAAAUUUUCCACUUUCUUUCAGGCAGAAAUCUAUCUUAUAUCUAUGUGUGUCAAAAUUGGUCUUGAUAGGAUAUAAAUGUUUUUUAACAUAUCCCUUAUCAAAUAGUCAAGCUUCAUUAAAAUUACUUGAUAGCUCCUGCUUUACUUCAAAGCUUGUGUGGGAAUGUUGUCAUCUCAUUGUGGAACUUACUACCAGGAACCAGAUUCAAGU
This 342-nucleotide long non-coding RNA is filed under the name Androctonus crassicauda. Lineage: Eukaryota; Metazoa; Arthropoda; Arachnida; Scorpiones; Buthidae. The record is from RNAcentral.